GACGAACGCUGGCGGCGUGCUUAACACAUGCAAGUCGAACGGUAAGGCCCUUCGGGGUACACGAGUGGCGAACGGGUGAGUAACACGUGGGUGAUCUGCCCUGCACUUCGGGAUAAGCCUGGGAAACUGGGUCUAAUACCGGAUAGGACCAUGCGCUUCACGGUGUGUGGUGGAAAGCUUUUGCGGUGUGGGAUGGGCCCGCGGCCUAUCAGCUUGUUGGUGGGGUAAUGGCCUACCAAGGCGAUGAUCGGUAGCUGGUCUGAGAGGACGGCCAGCCACACGGGGACUGAGAGACGGCCCCGACUCCGACGGGAGGCAGCGGCAAGGAAUCUUCCGCAAUGGGCGAAAGCCUGACGGAGCAACGCCGCGUGGGGGAGGACGCUUUACGGAGUGUAAACCCCUUUUCUCGGGGACGAAGCACUGACGGUACCCGAGGAAGAAGGACCGGCUAACUACGUGCCAGCAGCCGCCGUAA
RNAcentral lists this ribosomal RNA (475 nucleotides) under uncultured bacterium. RNAcentral describes it as "partial 16S ribosomal RNA". It matches the Rfam family "Bacterial small subunit ribosomal RNA", at positions 28 to 523 of the family's 1533-position model. The record is from RNAcentral.